Molecule: ribosomal RNA, 221 nt
Filed under: uncultured bacterium
Lineage: Bacteria
Description: partial 16S ribosomal RNA
Rfam family: Bacterial small subunit ribosomal RNA
Source: RNAcentral
ACGCUCGACACCUACGAGGCAGCAGUAGGGAAUCUUCCACAAUGGGCGCAAGCCUGAUGGAGCAACACCGCGUGAGUGAAGAAGGGUUUCGGCUCGUAAAGCUCUGUUGUUGGAGAAGAACGUGCGUGAGAGUAACUGUUCACGCAGUGACGGUAUCCAACCAGAAAGUCACGGCUAACUACGUGCCUGCAGCCGCGGUAAUCUGAGCGGGCUGGCAAGGC